RNAcentral lists this unclassified non-coding RNA (212 nucleotides) under Hevea brasiliensis (rubber tree). Lineage: Eukaryota; Viridiplantae; Streptophyta; Magnoliopsida; Malpighiales; Euphorbiaceae. The record is from RNAcentral.
GCUCAUACCCUUCCUGCUCUUCAAGUGGUAGAAAUCAAUUAGAUCAUCUGGCUGAGCAUGAGAUAUCUGGGACUUUGCUUUAAUCUCCUCAGUCUCCCUGAACUGUUUCUCUGCGAGCAUCUUUGCAAAGCUCUGACGGCAUGAUUGCAACCAUAUUUUCCUCACAUCAUCACCAGUAUUGCAGAGUAACCGGAUGCAGAGCACAAUCCUAU